This 253-nucleotide ribosomal RNA is filed under the name uncultured bacterium. RNAcentral describes it as "partial 16S ribosomal RNA". It matches the Rfam family "Bacterial small subunit ribosomal RNA", at positions 524 to 776 of the family's 1533-position model. The record is from RNAcentral.
UACGUAGGGUGCAAGCGUUGUCCGGAAUUAUUGGGCGUAAAGGGCUCGUAGGCGGUCUGUCACGUCGGGAGUGAAAACUUGGGGCUUAACCCCAAGCCUGCUUCCGAUACGGGCAGACUAGAGUUCGGUAGGGGAGUCUGGAAUUCCUGGUGUAGCGGUGAAAUGCGCAGAUAUCAGGAGGAACACCGGUGGCGAAGGCGGGACUCUGGGCCGAUACUGACGCUGAGGAGCGAAAGCGUGGGGAGCAAACAGG